GUGCUCACUUCAGCAGCCCAUAUGCUAACAUUGGAACAGUACAGAGAAGAUGAGCAUGGCCCUUCUGUAAGGAUAACACAGAUUCAUAAAGUGUUCCAUACUGUUUAU
This 108-nucleotide small nuclear RNA is filed under the name Macaca mulatta (Rhesus monkey). Lineage: Eukaryota; Metazoa; Chordata; Mammalia; Primates; Cercopithecidae. The record is from RNAcentral.